RNAcentral lists this non-coding RNA (32 nucleotides) under Homo sapiens (human). The record is from RNAcentral. Lineage: Eukaryota; Metazoa; Chordata; Mammalia; Primates; Hominidae.
UCACAGAGCAAGAGGUGUGUGGAUCCCUCAUU